GACGAACGCUGGCGGCGUGCUUAACACAUGCAAGUCGAACGGAAAGGCCCUGCUUUUGUGGGGUGCGCGAGUGGCGAACGGGUGAGUAACACGUGAGUAACCUGCCCUUGACUUUGGGAUAACUUCAGGAAACUGGGGAUAAUACCGGAUAGGAGCUCCUGCUGCAUGGUGGGGGUUGGAAAGUUUCGGCGGUUGGGGAUGGACUCGCGGCUUAUCAGCUUGUUGGUGGGGUAGUGGCUUACCAAGGCUUUGACGGGUAGCCGGCCUGAGAGGGUGACCGGGCCCAUUGGGACUGCGAGACGGCCCAGACGCCUACUGGAGGCAGCAGUGGGGAAUAUUGCACAAUGGGCCGAAGUCUGAUGCAGCAACGCCGCGUGCGGGAUGACGGCCUUCGGGUUGUAAACCGCUUUCGCCUGUGACGAAGCGUGAGUGACGGUAAUGGGUAAAGAAGCACCGGCUAACUACGUG
Molecule: ribosomal RNA, 468 nt
Filed under: uncultured bacterium
Lineage: Bacteria
Description: partial 16S ribosomal RNA
Rfam family: Bacterial small subunit ribosomal RNA
Source: RNAcentral